AAACAAAAAAAUGUUAAGUACCAAUCCAUAAAUUGUGUUUUACUAGCUAAUCAUUCUGAGAUAGUAACCUGUAAGAUAAACUGCAUUAGUAUUAUUCACCAAACACCUGACACAACUUGUAACUCCCCCUCAGUGGAUGAGUAUUUGAUGAUAAUUACCUCUUAUUGGUCAGUGGUAACGAUGACUGCAUACCCAGAUAAUCAAAAAACUCCUUUUCAGACCAUAGGUUCAUAUUAACAUGAAGCCAAUAUAGAAGAGAAAAAAGUUCUUUCUAACUUACUUCUACUACACUCAUAGCUGAAACACAGUAAAAACAGAUAUAGAUUAGACUCAGGAAGAGCAAGAAGACUAGGUAAAAGGAUUCACUGUUCCACGGGAAGAGAAUCUGCCCAAAAAUGAAGCCAGUGCGUUUCUUUCAGUGAAUAUUCUUAUUGGCAACACCUCGGCUUCUGAUGACUGCCUUAUCUGUGACGGGCCGCUGGAAGCAGUAGGCAAGCACCAUCUCUGGACUUGGCACAGACAGAAUGAGGCAGACCAGCAAGAAUUUGUUCCUAGAACCAAAAAUGGGCUCUCUCAUGUCAAAGAGGUGGACCAUCAUAGGAUACCUGCAGCGGAGGGUGGUAGGCGAAGGUCUGGUCCCAUGAACAUAGUACCUGCAGUUGAUGAUGACAGACAGGCAGCAGAUGGUGUCUGGGAGGGCGGAUAGCCACAGGCAGAGCCUGUGCUUUCCAAACACGACUCCAGGGAGACAGGAGAUCUGGUAGUGCCACUCAUUACCCCUGAUGAUAAAGGGCAGGAUUAGUCUGAGACCUGAGGCUGGGAGACAGGAAAGUGACAUGGGAAAGGUGGGUCAAGAGGGAAAUGGGGGAAGAAGUUAAGGAACCAAGAAGGGGGUUACAGUGCAUUUCUGUGGGCAGUCGCUUGGUAUUAUGAACUGGAAGAGAGGAGGAAGUAGGUUAUAAUAUAGAGUUUUAGAAGGAAUGAGCAGGCUCCACGUUUGGUCCAGGUGAACACUGGAUGUCCCAGCUGGUCCCCACUGAUCUUUUCUCCCUUCAGUCUAUGUAAUAAAUGUUAAUUCGGUCCUGAUCCUUUAAAUGUGAUUGCCCUAAACUCAUUGGAGGUCCAUCCAUAUUGUAGUUUUAACAGUUUGGGUAAAUCUUAAGUAUGCAUGUCUCUCUUAGACCAUAAACCUUAAGAAUAUAGGGAUCAAAUCUAUAUAGUUCUUUCUGAAUGGUGACUAUGUGAAAGCCCUUGACUGUGUGGAUCACAACAAACUGUGGAAAAUUCUUAAAGA
This 1294-nucleotide long non-coding RNA is filed under the name Capra hircus (goat). RNAcentral describes it as "lncRNA (ENSCHIG00010010676.1)". The record is from RNAcentral. Lineage: Eukaryota; Metazoa; Chordata; Mammalia; Artiodactyla; Bovidae.